CUUUCCCUAAUGGAAGGGAAAUUUCUGAGCAGCCCCUGGCAAGAGGCCUGCAACUCUGCUCACCACUUACCACUGGUUUACAGCAAGGUUUCUAAAGGUGAGUCACAUCUCUGUAGUACUAGAAGGUUUACAGACCACUUUCCCUGAAACAUCUUUGUAAGAUGAAUGGUACAAUAUUAUUAUUCCCAUUUUAUGGAAGAGGAAACUGAGGCAGAAAGUAGUAGAUAUUGAGAUCCAUCUUCAUAUCUGCUUCCUUUAAUAUGGAUACCUCUUUUUGUGUCCUUUCAGAGAAGCUCUUUCCCUGCCAGUGUACAAGGAGAACAUCCUGGGAGGAAGCAUUUGGAAACAAACACAGAUGCAGGUAGCAGGUGGUACAGUGGAUAGAGUAUUGGUCUUAGAAACAGGAAAACUGGAGUUCAAAUUUGGCUUCAGAUACUUACUGGCUGUUAGACCCUGGCAGAUAUUGGAGUGCCUUGCCAUUUCCUUUUCCCGUUCAUUUCGCAGAAGAGGAAACUGAGGCAAACAAGAUAAAGUGACUGCCUAGGGUCACACAGCUAGUAAAUGUCUGAGACUAGAUUUGCACUCAGGAACAUGAGUCUUCCUGACUCCAGGUUGGGUACUCUAUCCACUGCAUUACCCAACUGCCCCGAUAUUUUAUUUAAAAAUUUCAGUUCAUCUGGAACGACCUCCAGGAAUUGAUGCAGAGUGAAAGGAGCAGAACCAGGAGAACAUUGUACACAGAGACCGAUACAUUAUGGCACAACCUAACAUAAUGGACUUCUCUACUAGCAGCAAGACAGUGAUCCAGGACAAUCCUGAGGGACUUUUGAGAAAGAUGCUCUCCACAUUCAGAGAAAGAACUGUGGGAAUGGAAACAGAAGAAAAACAACUGCUUGAUCACAUGGUUCAUUGAGGAUAUAAUUGGGGAUGUAGCCUCUAAAUGAUCACCAUAGUGCAAAUAUCAAUAAUAGGGGACUAGGUGAUCAAUGAUACCUGUAAAACCCAGUGGAAUUGAGCAUCGGUUAAAGGGGGGGUUGAGGGGAUAGGAGGGAAAGAACAUGAUUCUUGUAACCAUGGAAAAAUAUGCUAAUUUAACUAAUUAAAUAAAAUGUUCUAAAAAUAAAUAAAUAAAAACUUC
Molecule: long non-coding RNA, 1138 nt
Filed under: Monodelphis domestica (gray short-tailed opossum)
Lineage: Eukaryota; Metazoa; Chordata; Mammalia; Didelphimorphia; Didelphidae
Description: lncRNA (ENSMODG00000038145.1)
Source: RNAcentral